Molecule: non-coding RNA, 423 nt
Filed under: Colletotrichum orbiculare MAFF 240422
Lineage: Eukaryota; Fungi; Ascomycota; Sordariomycetes; Glomerellales; Glomerellaceae
Description: Eukaryotic large subunit ribosomal RNA
Rfam family: Eukaryotic large subunit ribosomal RNA
Source: Rfam by way of RNAcentral
AAAUACUUUAAUAAGAGUUUAAAAGACUAGAAUAAGGAAAGGUUCUAUAUAAAUAGUAAUUAGCUAUAAAUUGAUUAAUCCUAAGCUAUAGAGAAGUUCUAUUUUAAAAAAGUAUUUAUACUUUUUAUAGUAAAAGAAAAACUAGUUAAUAUUCUAAUAUUUAGAUAUAGGUUUCAUAUAGUAAUAUAACUAAAUAUAGAAAUAAUAAUAAGAACUCUAAAUAGAAUUCUCUUUUUUUCUUAAUAGUUCAUUAUUUUAAAAUCAGUUUAUUUUAAACUAGAGUUUAAUAAUUAGAAGAACCUAAUAUUUCUAUUAGAUUUAAUGUAUUUUUAAUAUCCCUUAAACAUCUAUAAGAAGGAAAAAUUCUAAUAUUAAAUUAUACUUAUAAUUAUAAUAAAUCUCUAGAAUAAAUAACCUCUAGUU